RNAcentral lists this ribosomal RNA (254 nucleotides) under uncultured bacterium. RNAcentral describes it as "partial 16S ribosomal RNA". It matches the Rfam family "Bacterial small subunit ribosomal RNA", at positions 524 to 776 of the family's 1533-position model. The record is from RNAcentral.
UACGUAGGGGCCUAGCGUUGUCCGGAAUUAUUGGGCGUAAAGAGCUCGUAGGCGGUUCGGCAAGUCGGAUGUGAAAUCUCCACGCUCAACGUGGAGGGGCCAUUCGAAACUGCCGUGACUCGAGUCCGGUAGGGGAGUGUGGAAUUCCCGGUGUAGCGGUGAAAUGCGCAGAUAUCAGGAGGAACACCAAUGGCGAAGGCAGCUCGCUGGGACGUUACUGACGCUGAGACGCGAAAGCGUGGGGAGCAAACAGG